GUGCCAGCAGCCGCGGUAAGACAGAGGGUGUUAACGUUGCUCGGAAUUACUGGGUGUAAAGCGCGUGCAGGUGGUUUCGUAAGUUCGGUGUGAAAGCCCCAGGCUCAACCUGGGAAGUGCACUGAAUACUGCGAGACUUGAGUUCUGAAGAGGAGAGUGGAAUUCCCGGUGUAGAGGUGAAAUUCGUAGAUAUCGGGAGGAACACCAGUGGCGCAAGCGACUCUCUGGGCAGAAACUGACACUAAAACGCGAAAGCGUGGGGAGCAAACAGGAUUAGAAACCCGUGUAGUCC
Molecule: ribosomal RNA, 292 nt
Filed under: uncultured bacterium
Lineage: Bacteria
Description: partial 16S ribosomal RNA
Rfam family: Bacterial small subunit ribosomal RNA
Source: RNAcentral